GCCACCACCAUGUAAGAGAUGCCUUUUGCCUCCCACCAUGAUUCUGAGGCCUCCUCAGCUAUGUGGAACUAAUGCCAAGAACCUGGACACCCUCUGACGGUUAACAUGCAGACACUGAGAGAAGGUGGCCACCUGUAAGCCAAGGAGAGAGACCUUAGAAGAAACCAAACCUGCCAAUACCUUGAUCUUGGACCUCCAGCCUCCAGCCGUCUCAGCUGACAUAUCAUUUCUUCAAAAGUGCCUUCCUGACCACCCCGUGGAACAGAAGUGUCUCCCUAUCCCUGAUAUUCUGUAUCCCUGGCCAUGGUUUGUUCUUUAUAAAUUUUUAUCGUAUUUUGUGAUAAUUUUGUUUGUUUACUUUUGUCAAGUCUUUUGUUUGUCUUUCCAAUAGUAGACCUUAAACUCCCAUGAAGGCAGAAACGUGCCUGUCUUACUCAUUGUUAUAUCCCAGUGGCCUAGCACAUUCUAGACCUUCAAUAAAUAA
This is a long non-coding RNA of Symphalangus syndactylus (siamang), 484 nucleotides long. RefSeq lists it as uncharacterized. NCBI's taxonomy places the organism in Eukaryota, Metazoa, Chordata, Mammalia, Primates, Hylobatidae. The record is from RefSeq and is a predicted model, not a curated record.